RNAcentral lists this ribosomal RNA (228 nucleotides) under uncultured bacterium. Its description in RNAcentral is "partial 16S ribosomal RNA". It matches the Rfam family "Bacterial small subunit ribosomal RNA", at positions 568 to 795 of the family's 1533-position model. The record is from RNAcentral.
AGUGUAGGCGGCUAUUUAAGUCGGAUGUGAAAGCCCCGGGCUCAACCUGGGAAUUGCAUUCGAAACUGAAUAGCUAGAGUUUGGUAGAGGUAAGUGGAAUUCCGGGUGUAGCGGUGAAAUGCGUAGAUAUCCGGAGGAACAUCAGUGGCGAAGGCGGCUUACUGGACCAAAACUGACGCUGAGGCUCGAAAGCGUGGGGAGCAAACAGGAUUAGAUAACCUGGUAGUC